CAGCGGAUCGCUGACCGCGUAAAUGCGUAAGUUACACGUCAAAAGCAUGAUCCUUAAUAUUUGAGCCAUGAAUAUAUAAAUAUCCCAGUUAAGAAUUCUUAAAGAACCUACCACAUAACCCCUUUCUUCUUAAAAAAAUAUGUACUCCGAUGGCUGCCAAGCGGUCAGCGGAUCAAGUAUAAAAAUGAAGUAUAGAACCGUGAUGUUGAUAGGUUUUCAAUGUAGUGAGUCCCCGGGACCCACAGGUGGCGAGUUGGGUGGGUCCCUGAGAAAUUCAAUGGGUCCCGAGUCGACUCCCCAGUUUAAAAAAUUUAUUUCUUUUUUAUUAUUAUUCUAUUUCUUAAGUUAAAUUAAUAGUGUUAAACUCCUUGAUGGUGGUAUGAUAUGGUUAUAAUAAACGGAUUUAUUAAUGUAUGUUCAAAAUGUAAUUGUAUGCUGACCUGCAAUAGGUUUCAUCUUUUUCUUUGGUGGCAUUUUUGCGUUCUCUCUUCUCUGCCUGUUUCUCGAGAAAAACGGGAUCUCGUUGGAAGCGCGAUGUAUGCGCAGGCGCCGUUUGGGCAUAACAAAAUGGCGGCUGCCGUUCAAUGUAGUUUUCAUCACCACCACCGGAUUAUGUUUCAUUUAUUUCAUUACAGCACGUCCCCUAAACGUUACAACAUAAUCGACACGAAUGAGCACAGCAUCGAGCAGUGGAAACGUGGGUUUAUUUACUAUGAAGUUCGUAUUUUUAAUUGUUGAAAUGAAAUCAGCGGUGACGAGCUAGUUGUUUUGGUAGCGGCUAAAUUAGCAUGUCGCGAUACUUUGUACAGGGGAUCACGUCUGCGCCGAGUAGAUGCGCAGAGGGUUGAAACAGCGCUUGUCCAGUCUGCUCACAAGAAGGUUUCUUUGGCCAGUUACUGUGAUUAAACACGAGUUGUUUAAUGUUCACAAUGUAUCGUUUUUCAUGGGGGAAAUGAGAUGCGUCCCCGGGACGCAUGGAUAGUGAGUUUAGUGCGUCCUUUCAGAUUUUAAUGCGUCAGGGACGCAGGACGCGUACCUAGCAACAUCACUGAUAGAAAACAUACAAACUGGAGUUUGCAGGUCUGCAUCAAAGUGAUGCUCACAAGGCAUCAGACCGUGGCCUAUAUCGCUGCCGCGGUAGAAGUCCCCGCCCACCUGGAGGCAGAGGCUCGGGAAUUAAUAUGUCCCGAGUCAAUGCUCGUCCCUCUGCGAGAGAUGGCAGAGGUCGAGGACAUUACACUGGUGACUGUUCAGGGCUGGGUCAAAGAACUAGGUGCGUUCCACCCGCACACAACACCCGGUGGCCCGCCAGUGCCUCGAAGGACCGUGGUGCUGAAAGAUGUAAGGAAUUGGGACUGAGCCUCCACUCGACAGGGCACACUUCAGUGGAAGUUAUCAAUGGAGACAAGGAGGUCCAGGUCAUGGGGUACAGGACCCUCCCAGACAGGGACAUGGAGGUCCUGGACCCCAGUGACAAUGAACACGUCGUUCCACAGGCCAUGUGGGAUGCAGUCGUUGGCAAGACCGUCCCAGCCAUGCCUUUCCAAUUAUUAUUUAAAUUUGAAAAGGCCAAAUUACUUAAAUUACUUUAAGGGAGGAGUAGUCAUCGCCCCCCCCCCCUCCUGUUCGAGUUUUGUUUAACUGACAUUAAAUAAUUA
Molecule: RNA transcript, 1658 nt
Organism: Gadus chalcogrammus (walleye pollock)
Lineage: Eukaryota; Metazoa; Chordata; Actinopteri; Gadiformes; Gadidae
Exons: 4
Source: RefSeq, a predicted model, not a curated record